UAUUCUCUAUAGCAUGCAUGAAGGUCAGAGGACAACUUGCAGGAGUUGGUUCUCUCCUUUCUGUUGUUUCUACCCUGCUGUGUAGUCCAUACCACUGACCUCAGAAUAUUCCCUUGUCUCUCCUCCCAUCCCUCUGUAGGAGUUUUAGGUGCACGCCACCAUGCAUGGUUUUUAAAUAUAGAUUCAGGAGUCUGGACUCAGGCCAUCGGGCUUGCACAGAAAGUGCUACUACCGGCUGAUCCAUCUCACUACCCUCCAUGUUGUGUCAGUAGUGGUGGGAAGCAGGCUGAUUAACAAAUCACUCCCCAAGAGCAUGUUGACAUGGGAUGAAUGAACACUCAUGAUGGGCUAAGUGCAGGAAACAACCUCAAAGGGCAAAUAGUUAAAGCCAGAGCUUGGCACACUAAGGGACAAGGGUUUCAAGAUGGCAGUCGACUAGAAGGGUGGAGAUGUCGAUUGAAGAUGGCCCGGAAACAGGAAUUAGCACCCUUGGGCUGGUGAAGUGAGGAAAGGCUGCUGGAAGGGAGCAGGCAUCCCAUUCAGAGACAGAUGGAUGUCUUGGCCCAACGCCGGUUUGCCCAGACUCCAAGUAUGUUCUAGCUCUUUCUCCUCGGAUUUAAAAUUCAGUUCUAUUUUAAAGGAAAGUGUCCAGGUGUUUCUGACUCAUGGAUAUGUAAGUCUCUGUUGAGUGUGAGUUCCAUGUGUGAGGUGUGUGUGUGUGUGUGUGUGUGUGUGUGAAGGAUUGUCUGAGGAAUAUAUUUGAGGCCAUUUUUGUCUGUGGCUGAGUCCUAUGAGACUUCAGCCAGGUUUCUCACCUGUAGCCUUCUCAGCCAAGCAGAGAAUCUGAGUAGCAGUUUGUGACCAGAAGCCAAUGGGUCCCAGGGUGGACCACAGAGAGAUGUCCCAACUGGCUACUGUGGCUGUCCCUACUUGAGCACACACAGCUGUUCCCCGCUCUUUGGAAAGACUAUGUAGCCUUGAGCCUGUUGAUGACAAAGUUGGAGGGACAGUUUGUUCGGGAUGAUUUGACACAUCAGGCAUCCGGGCCAGCCACCUCUCAGAAAUAGAAUUAGAGUAGGAAAUGUAUUCCUGGCAGCGGAAGGUGCCCCCAGCAGCCUGCUGGAGCUUUCAGGGGCCCAGAGAGGGAGACAAGGCUGCCAGUACUACAGACAAAGACCAGACCAGACCAGUCUCCUCCUCAUGGGAGCAAGGAGGCUGGGGCCAUGACCCUGUGAAAACAUCUGGACAGCUGUGGAAGGCUCUCACUCCACCAAGGAUGCCCCUCCCACUUCCUACCCAGCUCAGCAGGAAAAGCUCUGUAAGUGAGGUCUUCUUCAGGUGUGAAUUUGCUUCACACUAGCCCAUGGCUGGCUGCCCAUCCAUCGCUCUGGGGAAUCUCCUUUCUCUGGCCUUUUCUUGUGACGUCACCCCCUUUCCCUCUUGACUUUGGAUCUCCUGCUGCACCAUAUGCUCUACCAGAAGAGUCCAGCAUUUUGACAUUGCAACAUGAAGUUGUCAUCUGCAAAGUUCACACUUAAGACCUGCGCAAGCAAGUUACAGGAAAAAAAUCCCCCC
This 1575-nucleotide long non-coding RNA is filed under the name Mus musculus (house mouse). RNAcentral describes it as "long non-coding RNA chr11:51342409-51343984". Lineage: Eukaryota; Metazoa; Chordata; Mammalia; Rodentia; Muridae. The record is from RNAcentral.